This 224-nucleotide ribosomal RNA is filed under the name uncultured fungus. RNAcentral's name for it is "partial small subunit ribosomal RNA". The stretch from base 98 to 224 matches the Rfam family "Eukaryotic small subunit ribosomal RNA", at positions 736 to 864 of the family's 1831-position model. Lineage: Eukaryota; Fungi. The record is from RNAcentral.
GGCGUGGCGUACUUGACCCGCUCCGGUUACGGUAGUGAGUGUCGAUGUGUGCCUGCCAUCCUUCUGAAGAACGGUUCUGCCCUUCACUGGGUUGGAAUCGCUAUUCGGAUCUUUUACUUUGAAAAAAUUAGAGUGUUUAAAGCAGGCUUGCGCUAUGAAUACAUUAGCAUGGAAUAAUAAUUUAGGACUUUCGUCCUAUUUUGUUGGUUUAUAGGGUGGAAGUA